This 155-nucleotide microRNA precursor is filed under the name Olea europaea subsp. europaea. Lineage: Eukaryota; Viridiplantae; Streptophyta; Magnoliopsida; Lamiales; Oleaceae. The record is from RNAcentral.
UCUCUCUCUCUCUCUCUCUCUCUCUCUCUCUCUUCACGGGACGGGGAUUAUUAUUAUUAUAUAUAUAUACACACACAUACAUAUAUAUAUAUAUAUAUAUAUAUAUAUAUAUAUAUAUAUAGAGAGAGAGAGAGAGAGAGAGAGAGAGAGAGAGA